UACGUAGGGUGCAGGCGUUAAUCGGAAUUACUGGGCGUAAAGCGUGCGCAGGCGGUUUCUUAAGUCAGAUGUGAAAGCCCCGGGCUUAACCUGGGAACUGCGUUUGAAACUACAAGGCUAGAGUGUGGCAGAGGGGGGUGGAAUUCCACGUGUAGCAGUGAAAUGCGUAGAGAUGUGGAGGAACACCGAUGGCGAAGGCAGCCCCCUGGGUCAAGAUUGACGCUCAUGCACGAAAGCGUGGGGAGCAAACAGG
This 253-nucleotide ribosomal RNA is filed under the name uncultured bacterium. RNAcentral's name for it is "partial 16S ribosomal RNA". It matches the Rfam family "Bacterial small subunit ribosomal RNA", at positions 524 to 776 of the family's 1533-position model. The record is from RNAcentral.